Molecule: long non-coding RNA, 4130 nt
Organism: Rhea pennata
Lineage: Eukaryota; Metazoa; Chordata; Aves; Rheiformes; Rheidae
Exons: 4
Source: RefSeq, a predicted model, not a curated record
UGGUAGAACUAAGAAUCGUGGAUAGAUCUGGUUCGUUAUAUGAACUAAAGUAUCGAAUAUGUAAUAACUUACUAUCCUGUAAAAGUUGUAGCAAAAAAGCUGCUAGGAGGUCCCUGCUUGUGCUCCCAGCCAAAAAGCACCUUAUUGCUAGCAAUAAAACUUAAAAAACAAAACCAAAAUACUUAGAAAUCUGACUCCUGCUGCUCAUUACUGGUGCCCAUGAGUGAACAAAAGAGAACAGAUAAUUUUUAACAGUUUAGCAAUCCAAGUGGGACGCAGCAAGCCUCCAAUCUGGUGAGUGCUGGAACUGCAUUCGACGCAGCCGGCACAGGGUGAGUUCACUGGGAAGUAGUUGUGGUGGCAAUGCUCACCAGGGAGGUACUAAAACCGUAUCAGCAUGAAUCAUGGAGGGUUCAGUAGGAAGCUAAAAUGGGUUUACUGCCAGCAGAAAUACUGGAAAACUAAAAGAAAAUCAAAGGUACCUCAGGUCUCGGUAAGGGUAGAGCAAAUGGUCACUACAGACUUGAGAAGGCCCUCAAGUGUGAGCACUGGCCACUGGAUGGUUCAUUUGGAGGAUCGGAAACCUCAGCAAAUGAACUACUGGUAUAUUUGGGAUAACCGGGUGUUUAAGCAUCCAGGGGAUUCAUAGAUUCAGCUAACAUAAGAUGUAUGUCUGCACUACAAAUGCUGGAAGACUCAAGUAACGGCUUUGCUUCUGCUCCCCCUGGCUCCGCUUCAGCACCUGAAUCUGCUUCUGCUCAAACUUCCAGCCUAUACCUGUCACUUCCUACAGGAAGUUAAUCUGUCACUUUGCAAGCUGCUAUGAUUGGCACUGUGAUGCCUUACCAGUUUUAGCAACAGGAACUGAAGAGCAAAUGGGCAUUAACUUGAAAAAGAUGCUGUCAUUAGCAGAAGUCUGAGGAAAACCUGAGCACCUGUGAGACAAGCAUCCAAGCGAAUCUGGGAGCUGUAUCGAAAAGAGCUGGAACCAAUGACAGCAAAUGCUGACAGAGAGGAAAGCUAGACAAGCAGCCUUUUUGUGAUUAAUACUGAAGGGACGGGAUUGAAAAAAGGAAGCAAAAAUGCAGCGGACGCUUGGUAUCCCCAGCAACUGCUACAGCAGGAGGUGUUCUGCCAUGGAUGAAUUGCCAUGGCUGAAGCUGAAGAGGCCAAAAAAAUGUAAGCAAGCUGAAGUGAUUAAAUCAAAUGGAACCAACUGAGAGCUGUCUCCAUCUCCCACAAAGGAAAGCCCAUUCUUCCUGUUGAGGAAGGAUCGCUGUUAAUAGCAAUUGGAAUAAUAGAUCACCAACAUAUAAUGGAAAGUCUGCACGUGUUACAACAAGUAUGCUACCUACAUGUGUUUCUGUGCAUGUGACUUUACACAUCUGUGAAACAUCCUAUUUUAAAAGCUACAGGACAGCAGAUUAUUAUCUCAGGGGAACGAUGGUUAAGUGGCCAGAAUUACUGAAGAAGCAGAGACAGAGAGAGAGAGAGAAAUUGUAUGAACUGUAAAAUCAAGAGAUCAUUUUCAGAGGGCUCAGUAAGUGCAACUCCUAGUUAGUUAACUGGCAGUGGUAUUUGGGGAAACAGCAAGACAGUAGAUAGAGGGAGGAAACAUUAAAGCCUCGUGGAAUUAAUUAACAUCUGCCCUUAAAUUCCUGGGACAAGACAAGCCUUUUUCAUAGAAUCAUAGAAUCAGUAAGGUUGGAAGGGACCUCUGGAGAUAAUCUAGUCCAACCUCCCUGCUCAGCAGGGUCACCUAGAGCAUGUUAGACAGGGUUGCAUCCAGGCAGGCCUUGAAUAUCUCAACUGUCUCCAGAGAAGGAGACUCCACAAACUCUCUGGGCAACCUGUUCCAGUGCUCUGUCACUCUCACAGUGAAGAAUUCCCCCUCACGGUCAGGCGGAACUCCCUGUGGUUCAAUUUCUGCCCAUUGCCUCUUGUCCUGUCACAUGGGACAACUGAAAAGAGUUUGUCCCCGUCCCCUUGACACCCUCCCUUCAGGUACUUGUACACAUUGAUAAGAUCCCCCCUCAGUCUUCUCUCCCCCAGGCUAAACUGGCCCAACUCUCGCAGCCAUUCCGCAUAGGGCUCCAGCCCUCUGAUCAUCUUUGUAGCCCUACGCUGGAUUCUCUCCAGUAGCUCCAUGUCUCUCUUGUACUGGGGAGCCCAGAACUGGAUGCAGUACUUGAGAUGAGGCCUCACCAGGGCUGAAUAGAGGGGCACAAUCACCUCUCUCGACCUGCUGGCAACACUCUUCCUAAUGCACCCCAGGAUACCGUUGGCCUUCUUGGCCACAAGGGCACGUUGCUGGCUCAUGGUCAGCUUGUCAUCCACCAGCACUCCCAGGUCCUUCUCUGCAGAGCUGCUCUCCAGCAGGUCAGCCCCCAGCUUGUACUAGUGCCUAGGGUUAUUUUUCCCUAGGUGUGGGACUCUGCGCUUGCCCUUGUUGAACCUCAGGAGGUUCCUCUCCGCCCAGCUCUCCAGCCUGUCCAGGUCUCUCUGAACAGCAGCACAGCCCUCAGGUGCAUCAGCCACUCCUCCCAGCUUGGUAUCAUCAGCAAACUUGCUGAGGAGGCACUCCGUCCCCUCAUCCAGGUCAUUGAUGAAGAAACUGAACAGGUUGGGACCCAGUACUGAGCCCCGGGAGACUCCACUAGCCACAGGCGUCCAACUAGAUUCCGUGCCACUGAUGACGACCCUCUGAGCUCUGCCUUUCAGCCAGUUCUCAAUCCACCUCACUGUCCGCUUGUCUAACCCACGCUUCCUGAGCUUGUCUAGGAGGAUGUUAUGGGAGACAGCAUCAAAAGCCUUGCUGAAGUAAAGGUACACAACAUCCACUGCUCUCCCCUCAUCUACCCAACCAGUCACUCCAUGAUAGAAGGCUAUCAGGUUGGUUAAGCAGGAUUUCCCUUCGGUGAAUCCACGCUGGCUACUCCUGAUCACCUUCUUUUCCUCCAUAUGUCUGGAGAGGACACCCAGAAUGAGCUGUUCCAUCACCUUUCCAGGGAUGGAGGUGAGGCUGACUGCCCUAUGACUGCCUGGGUCCUCCUUUUUGCCCUUCUUGAAGACUGGAGUGACAUGGCUUUCUUCCAGUCCUCAGGCACCUCUCCAGUUCUCCAGGACCUUUCAAAGAUGAUGGAGAGAGGCCUGGCAACAACAUCCAUCAGCUCCCUCAGUACCCGUGGGUGCAUCCCAUCUGGGCCCAUGGAUUUGUGGAUGUCUAGCCUGCCCAGAAGGUCUCUAAUCCUUUCCUCCUCAACCAAAGGAAAGUCUUCCCUUCUCUGGACUUUCUCUGUCACGUCCAGGCUGCAGGAUUCAUGAGGGCUGCCCUUAGCAGUGAAGACUGAAGGAAAGAAGGCAUUCAGUAAUUCUGCCUUCUCUGUAUCCCUUAUCACCAGGGCCCCCGCCCCAUUCAGUAGCAGGCCCACAUUUUCCCUAGUCCUCCUCCUGCUGCUGAUGUAUUUGAAGAAGCCCUUCCUAUUGUCCUUGACAUCCCUUGCCAGACUCAAUUCCAACUGGGCCUUAGCCUCUGCAGAGCUUUGAUUAUUUCAUUUUUUAUUUUUUUUUUGCUUUGCUUUGCUCUAUAGUUUUGUAGGGUGAUGGGUUUUACUAUGUCUGCACCAACAAGUUGCUGCUGACAAAGUUAUAAUGUCCGAAGGGAGACUCUUAGGCAAGAUGGAGGAGUUCAGAUAGACAGCCUGCUAGAAGAAUGUCACCCAAGAGCUGGGAGCUCUGCAGAGAUCUGCAGCUGGCCAUGGAGGAUGAGCUCUGACCUGCAGUGUGGACACAGCUAAGUCCUGGGGCUGUAUUUUAUGUGAGUAGGGCUGGGAGGUACAAAAAUACAGGCAGGUGAGAUCAGACAUUGUCCUCUCAACUCUCAGAGCUGAAUCCUAUCCCUGAAGGAAAAGCAGAAGGGGUAGGACAUUGGCUACUCAGACACCUGCCAUGUUAAAGGCAGCAGCAGGAGCUGAUCCUUCCCUGAUGGAUGGAUGCUGGCAGAGCAAUGACUUUUCAGAUAUCACUAAGUAAGGGUAAGCAUGCUGGCACCAAGCUUCAUGGCGGACUCACUCCCAGGUGGUGUUUCUGUGCAGUAAAACAAUAAACAGUUGCUUUAUUCUUUGUGCUGA